This 86-nucleotide transfer RNA is filed under the name Deltaproteobacteria bacterium. RNAcentral's name for it is "tRNA-Ser". It matches the Rfam family "tRNA". From Rfam's summary of the family: Transfer RNA (tRNA) molecules are approximately 80 nucleotides in length. Their secondary structure includes four short double-helical elements and three loops (D, anti-codon, and T loops). Lineage: Bacteria; Pseudomonadati; Myxococcota; Myxococcia. The record is from RNAcentral. RNAcentral also lists the same sequence under 1 other name.
GGAGAGGUGCCCGAGCGGCCGAAGGGGCACGCCUGGAGAGCGUGUGUACCUACCCGGUACCGAGGGUUCGAAUCCCUCCCUCUCCG